AGAGUUUGAUCCUGGCUCAGGAUGAACGCUGACAGAAUGCUUAACACAUGCAAGUCAACUUGAAUUUGGGUUUUUAACUUAGAUUUGGGUGGCGGACGGGUGAGUAACGCGUAAAGAACUUGCCUCACAGCUAGGGACAACAUUUAGAAAUGAAUGCUAAUACCUGAUAUUAUGAUUUUAAGGCAUCUUAGAAUUAUGAAAGCUAUAAGCACUGUGAGAGAGCUUUGCGUCCCAUUAGCUAGUUGGAGAGGUAACAGCUCACCAAGGCGAUGAUGGGUAGCCGGCCUAAGAGGGUGAACGGCCACAAGGGGACUGAGACACGGCCCUUACUCCUACGGGAGGCAGCAGUGGGGAAUAUUGGACAAUGGACCGAGAGUCUGAUCCAGCAAUUCUGUGUGCACGAUGAAGUUUUUCGGAAUGUAAAGUGCUUUCAGUUGGGAAGAAAAAAAUGACGGUACCAACAGAAGAAGUGACGGCUAAAUACGUGCCAGCAGCCGCGGUAAUACGUAUGUCACGAGCGUUAUCCGGAUUUAUUGGGCGUAAAGCGCGUCUAGGUGGUUAUGUAAGUCUGAUGUGAAAAUGCAGGGCUCAACUCUGUAUUGCGUUGGAAACUGUAUAACUAGAGUACUGGAGAGGUAAGCGGAACUACAAGUGUAGAGGUGAAAUUCGUAGAUAUUUGUAGGAAUGCCGAUGGGGAAGCCAGCUUACUGGACAGAUACUGACGCUAAAGCGCGAAAGCGUGGGUAGCAAACAGGAUUAGAUACCCUGGUAGUCCACGCUGUAAACGAUGAUUACUAGGUGUUGGGGGUC
This 810-nucleotide ribosomal RNA is filed under the name uncultured Fusobacterium sp. Its description in RNAcentral is "bacterial SSU rRNA". It matches the Rfam family "Bacterial small subunit ribosomal RNA", at positions 8 to 831 of the family's 1533-position model. The record is from RNAcentral. Lineage: Bacteria; Fusobacteriati; Fusobacteriota; Fusobacteriia; Fusobacteriales; Fusobacteriaceae.